Long non-coding RNA from Astyanax mexicanus (Mexican tetra), 2589 nucleotides. RefSeq lists it as uncharacterized. The record is from RefSeq and is a predicted model, not a curated record. The transcript is spliced from 2 exons. NCBI's taxonomy places the organism in Eukaryota, Metazoa, Chordata, Actinopteri, Characiformes, Acestrorhamphidae.
CAAAAGAGAAAGGGGUCAGGUAGAAGGGCUGAAGGGACGCAUGAAGAAGUCUAAAAGAGCAGAAGUCAACUUUUUACCUGAUCAUCCAGCAGGCCAGUCAGAUGAGUCUCUUGAGAAAGAAAGAGUCUCCAUUGUUGAAGAAACUCGGAAAAAGAGAAUAGAUGCAACACUUGUUCGUCAGAAGAUGGAAGCAACAUUCUCACUGCGGCGCAAGGAGGUCGUAGAGGUUGAACCACUUGUUGAAGAGAUCAGGGAAAGGUGGCCUGCACUUUUUUAUGAGGAUGAGGUAAGUGAUCAUAUAAUUUAAUUGUGGUAUUUAAAGAUUUUAUCUAAUGAUCCAUUGUAGUAAUUUAAACUUACCAGGUAGUUUUCUGUGUUUCUUUGUUUAUUUGUUUGUGUAAGCAGAUCUGCAGAGAGUUCUUUCGAAUCACAAACAUCCAUCUACUGAGCACAUUUAAAGAAUCGCUAGACAAAUAUACAGCACCCCUCCUGAAGCUGUACCGAAGGCGAAGAGAGGCAUUUGGGCAGGAAAUGAAGAUUCUUUUGGAGAAUUUGGAUGAACAGGUGAAUAAUAUUGUUGCCAGUCAACAAAGAACAGCUCUUGAGGGAUUGCCACUUUUUCUGCGGGAAAAUCCAUCCAGUUUACUGAAGAAAUGUCUGGUAAGUACCUUUCCCUAUGCAGGUCUGCUUAGUGCUUUCUGUGCCUUUUAUGUAUUUUAUUUUAUUAUUUUUUAAAUUAUUUAUUUCAGGACACAGAUGCUGAGGACAACUACACCAAAGAUGUAAAGAUUGGAAUUGUUUCUCUGCUGAAAGAUGAUGUGGCUGCUGCAGCGUCCCUGCCAGAUGUCACAAACAUUGCAAUAAUACUGGAAGAGGCUGUUGUUCUCCGGGAUAUUGCUGAUCUGCCAACAGCAUUUGCGUAUUUGUUUGGUCUUCUGUACUCCAUUAAUAUGGAAUAUCCCAAAGAACUCAAGUACACCUUUGAGGCGAUGCAGAAGAUUUUCAUGGAUCUUGGUGGUUCUUGCUCUCCAAGAGUGCAGUCGCUGAAGAUUAAACUUUGCUAGGUGGACAGACUUUACAUACUAAAUCUUCCACUCCACCCUUUGUCACUGAACUCUAUUUUUUGGCCAUCCCAAAUGGUUUUGCAUUACACAGCUCUAAUGUUUUAAUAACUAACUAGAGUAGUUCAGCUUGCAGGUUUGCAAAGCAUUAUAGUUGUGUUUACGUUAUGUUGUGACUGUCGCAGUUUAAGAAGCCUCCAACAGUUUAUUAAUGUUAGUGUUCUAACUGGCAACACUUUAAGAACUGUUUUGUUGACUGACAAUAUGAAAGUUGAAAGUUUUUGGGACACGAAUGCUGAGGACAGCUACAAGAUACACAUGUUGGAAUACUUCAUGUAUGGUUUGCAACAUCCCAGGUUAGUUGACACAAACAUUGCAACAAUCCUGGAAGAGCUCAGGCACACCUUUUUGGAUAUCUUUUUAGGGGAGUGCAGUCCCUAAAGAUUACAGUUUGCUAUGUGGACAGACUUUACAUGCUUAUCCCUCCCCGCCACCCUUUGUCACUGGACCUCUCUGUUUUCUGAAUGCUACAAGUUGUUUUACAUUGCACAAGACUAAAUUACACAGCUCUUAUUGUUUCAGUAAUGAAAGUUCAAAAUCUGAGUAGUUUUAUUAAUGGCUUUUUGUGUUUUUUUUUGUUUGUUUGUUUGUUUUUAUUACCAAUAGUGUACAUGUAAGUUUUUCUGUCAAAAAGCUGUCACUGUGAUCUGCGUAUUGCUUUUUUUGCUUGUUUGUAUUGGAGCCAAGUUGCUACCCUGUGAUGGUAGUGAGUUGGUGGCUGGCUUUUCAUGUAUUUGAAGAGGCAUGCUAGUCUUUACGCUCCUGUUGCUAGUUAUGGGGGGAGUUCAUAUAAGAGGGAUUAGAUAAUCUGCCUUCUAGAUUGGGAGAAAAGUGGUAAAAAAAAUUGGAUAUAAAUGUAGAUAUGUGUUUUACCAAGCAGAUUGAAUUUUAUAACAGUUGGUAUGUGAAGAGUUGUAAAAUGCACUGCCUGUUACAUUGUGACAGCUUUUUGUACAGUUAUUAAAGUUUUUAUGUUUUUGUACUGCCUUAAUAGAAUAGUAUGGUGAAUUAUAAAAUCCAGUUCACACAUUUUCCGCAGUGCUGCAAAACCAAAAUAGCAUAAUUCAACCUGGGAAAAUAUAUGUUAGAAAUCUGCUUAACAAUCUACUUUAAAGCAGUAAAAAAAAUUAGGAGCAAACUUCAUUGUUCGUGUAACACGACACGCAGUGUAAACGGUUUGCUGUUGGUUUAAAUAAUUUGUCAGUUGGCUUUUAAAUAUGAUUUUUGUCAUAUUUUAUAUUUGUGUGGAUUGAAGUAUUUUUUCACCAAUCUAUUCAAAGGCUUGGAAUAAUUGAAAAUGAUUGUUUUAUGUUUUAUGAAGUUUAUGAUUUUACAGUGAAUAUUCUAAAGGGCAUCUGAUUACAUUAUGCCUUAAUUUUAAGGAGCAGAUCAGUCCAAAGCUCAGUUGGUUGUUCAAUCACUGAAAAGAAUGCUCUUAUGCUUUAAUAAAUAUUUUCUUAAUGUUUCA